This 1027-nucleotide long non-coding RNA is filed under the name Chinchilla lanigera (long-tailed chinchilla). Its description in RNAcentral is "lncRNA (ENSCLAG00000028862.1)". The record is from RNAcentral. Lineage: Eukaryota; Metazoa; Chordata; Mammalia; Rodentia; Chinchillidae.
AUGGUUUCUCUUAGAGCCUACCCCCUCUUCCCCUGGGUCUGGUCUAAUUUCAGGCCUGCCCUCAGUAGUGGCUGCCUGCCCAUCCUGCUUACUAAUGCUUGUCUGAUGCCUAAUGGGGAAAGCGGGUCUUUGUCACAUUGGGCUCAGGUUACAGAGGUGGAGGCAUAUCUGGAAGCCAGACCCGACGUAGCACCAACGCUGUCACUGGCCACCCGGAUUUCAGGCAGCCUGGCCCCUCAACUCCCGCAGCAUCCAGGGAGCCUUGGCCUGUCCUGUAUCUCCGGGAAGUUGGUCAGGUGGAGGGCACACUUGGAACACACACCUUCACUUUGCCAAGGCUAUUUACCUGGCUACCAUGAAAGGACUCUCAAGUGAAUAAAGGAGGAGAGGUCUCUGCCCAGGCUGAGAGUUGAGCUGAGCUUGCAAACUCAGCAUAGCAGGAAGCAGCUUGCUUACUAAUCACAUGUGUCCUUGGCAGAUAUUCGGCUUGGCUCUCCAACAGUGGUAUGGGAUCCUCUGGUCCCCCUGGUCUGGGUAUUGAACCUGCCCUGUAUGAAACCGCACCACCUGGCCAGUCUCCAGACUGUACCUUCUGCCCUGUGGGACAUGUGGGUCCGUUGAUGGGUGGUGCGGUUCUCCACGGAGGGUCUGGGAUACUCAGUCCUGGUGCGGACGAGUGUGUCAUCCCCGUGGGGAGCCUCUGAGCUGUCUCCCGGCGAUGGUCCCCGGGAUCUUGCUGAACUCCGCCAGCUUUUCCUUCUCCCUUCUGCUCUCCCUGUUUCUCUGUCCCUCCCUGGAGACCCUGCCUAGCUGGCUCCUUUCUUCCCUUUUUGCUCUGCUGCUGCUGGCUGCCACAAGGGCCCCUUCCACCUAGGGUUCCAAGACUUUCUGGGCCCUUCUGGGUCUGGCUCACCUGGCAGUAGCAGUUCUUCAAACCCUUAUUUCAGAUAGCUGGAGCAGGCUGGGAUCCUUCACUGCCCCUUUCCCUGCCGGGUGGUUUCCCAGAGUAGGCUGUCAGGGCCUGGAG